AAAAUGGGAAAAUCAAAAUCCUCGUGGUUUUCAAAUAACAUGAUUGCUUACCUAGAAGAAACUAAAAAUAUCAGAUUGACAUGUAUUAGAACGGAUAAGGAAAUUACAUUAAGGUCUUAUUUGGGCAAAUUCACAAGGAUAUGAGUUUAAGAGACUCAUUGUAAAAUUUAGCAAAUAGCAAAAUAAUAUAUCAACCUAAAAUCUUAUUAAUAAAUGACUAACUAAAUAAAAUAUUGUCAUACCAUGGAAUACCAGCUUGCCUUAAAAAUAAUGGGCCAACCUUAUUUUGUCAAAAGACAUACUUGUUUUUUCAGAAUUUUCAGGUGUUUUUGUAAUAAGCACGUAUAUAUUACUUUUAGAAUCAGAAAACCAGAACUUAGCUAUUUAUUUAUACUAAUUUUGGUGAAAACAUAUAAAAAUAUAUCCUCUCACUAAAGGGUAAAUUUGUUAAAUCAUCCUGAGGGUAAGAUGGUCUAUAUUUAUUAAAAGUCUUAAAGAUGUUCAUACUUAAAGGAUAAUUGCCCCUUUAAGAAACGGUCUUAAGGAAGCAAUAAGAGAUGUGAAAAAACUGCACAUCAGGGAUGCUCAGCAUUUACUGAGAGAAAAACUGGACAGGCUGACAAUAGCUCACAUACUUCGAGCUCUUGCACUCGCUGUGCGAGAUACUUCUGUGCGCAGCCUGCCAGUGAGCAGCGCCCUGGUGAGUGUGGAGAGCUGGACGGUUUUUGCGCAGUCCUACCUCUUCUAGAUGCGAAAGCUUGUCUUUUAUGUCACCACCUGCCCUCUAGGGAUCCAAGGCCUGAAGGAUCCUGAAUGUUCCAUGCUGCCCAACAGGUUGUUGGUCAUACUGGCUAGAUUACAUGGGGCACUGACAGGGAGACUGAGCACUCUCGCGCGCAAUGAGUCACUACCAGAAGGAUGGUCCAUGGGGGCGUUGCCGCGCACCAUCUAUUGCUUAUCCUCAGCGCACAGUAAUGCAGAGGACAGGGGUCCCCGAGGCAACUCCACACAGGUGACUGGGCCUGGGGAUGCAAGGGACUCUCAGAUGGUCUCUCCUCUCCUUUUCCUUUUUAUCCUAUAUUUUACCCAUUUUGGAAGUCAGAGCAAAUCUUUACAAGUAUAUAUACAGAUUUGUCUUUCUUCUACUCCGACCGGGAAUGCUGGAACUUUAAUUUUCAAGUAUCUGCAGCCUUUGUUUUCUGGCACGGUAGUGAGUGAAAUGUGUCAAUCACUCUGCGGUGGGAGGGGCCGCUG
This 1254-nucleotide long non-coding RNA is filed under the name Equus asinus (donkey). RNAcentral's name for it is "lncRNA (ENSEASG00005029561.1)". Lineage: Eukaryota; Metazoa; Chordata; Mammalia; Perissodactyla; Equidae. The record is from RNAcentral.